UUAGUGUCGUCUGCUUUAGUUUUGUUUACACAAGUUUCGAAAAAGAGCUACGAAGUUUAAGAUUUUUAAAGAUUAAAAUAUAUGGAAAAUGGAAUGUAUUGAAACGUACGUGGUUGUACGAAAAAUAGCAGAACAAAUAAAAUUACAAAAAUUUGGACCUCGUGUCAACUCUCGUCUCAUUAUAGAAUCGCCUAAUACACACUCCAUGCUGUUCAUAGCAGAUUCCAGGCCUGAGCCAGCCUCAAGAUAUGCAUGUUUUUUGUAUGCCUUUAUUGAACUGUCAUCAUCCAGUAUCAUCGCUUAGCAUUCCAUUUGAUGGGAGAAAUUCCCCUUUCUUUACAUGUCCUCGUGUAUGCCCAUGUAAUUGUGGGUGUAUUCACGUGGACGCCCUUUUUCUUAUUCCGUAGACCUGGUGGAUUCAACUCGUCAGCGGAUGGAUGGAUCACCCGGUGAAUGCUUGGCCUUCGGUGAAUUCCCAGGCUUAAAGGUAGGACAAAUAUAUCUCCAUUCUUCCUUUUUGACUAUUUGGUGGUGUUGAUUGUAUAAAUCGUGACGUAGUAUACGAUUACUCCUGAGCUAUGCGGUUGACUGCACGUAACUGUUUUCUCUCGCCGCCUUUAUUCUCACUCAGUCAGGGUUUUAUUUUAAUUAACUCGACUGCAGAUCAGGCCCUGUUUUGUACCUCUCGACUAUAUCUCUGUUGUGGGUAAAUUAUAAAAUUCGGAAAAUACUUAAACUUUACACACUUCAAGCAAAGUGCAACUAGUCUUUUUCAAAGUGCAAAGACUUUCACGCUCCUUAUGAGAUCAAAUUGUAGGCAUAAAGUCGAUUGAUUGUUGAUUAUUUACGAGUUGAAUUCCUUAAAUGGUUUCAAAUAAUUUCAAAUUGUGACUGACCCAUAAAACAGCCGCCAACUCGUUGGAUUCACCCGACCCGAGAAAGAAGAGAACGUGAAGAAUUCGUGAAUUGCGAUAACAAUUAUCGGAUGAUGCAAUAGAGCUGCAGGCCGUGAGCAAUUAGACUCCAUCAUCAUAAAAAAAAAACGAGGCGUAUUGUACACGUAUAUGCAUAUAUACUCCGUCUCUUUUUGCAUAAAUUAAUUGUUUAAUAAUAAUCCGCACUCUCACUUAUUGUGUUGCGAUGAGUGCAGUGAGCGGAUGGAAUUCCAUUUCUCUUUCUUUCUCUCGUUGGGUAAUCUCGCUGGUGGCCCUUUGAAAAAAAAUUAAAAAUUUUUAAUCCUCCGGCCAACAACUAUUCAUAAGAAGCCAAAAAAUGUAACUAUAGCAACUGGCUGCCGCUGUUUGUAUACCGAAUAACCAAAACGGCCAGGAAUUGUAUACGAGAUACUAUGUGUGUGUGUAAGUUGCCCUUCUAAUUUAUGUGUCAAACCACUUUCGCUCUCGUCUGUCUAUCUAUGAAGAUUUACUCAAUGGCAUAAGCAAGCUGUCCCUUUUUGCACGGGUAUCGACAGGUCGUACUAAAAAAUUUUUAAAUCUAUCCACCCGAUUAUGUCUAAUCAUUUUAAUCAAAAAUCAUAUUUUUUCUUCCCCCCGAAAAAAAAGUUCCUUUAUACCGAAUCGUCUUUCUUGGUUAAUGCAUUUCGAAACGGUGUAAGAAAAAAUAUGUAAUUAAAAAUGA
This 1638-nucleotide long non-coding RNA is filed under the name Daphnia pulicaria. RNAcentral's name for it is "uncharacterized LOC124350908". Lineage: Eukaryota; Metazoa; Arthropoda; Branchiopoda; Diplostraca; Daphniidae. The record is from RNAcentral.